This 513-nucleotide ribosomal RNA is filed under the name uncultured bacterium. RNAcentral describes it as "partial 16S ribosomal RNA". It matches the Rfam family "Bacterial small subunit ribosomal RNA", at positions 28 to 523 of the family's 1533-position model. The record is from RNAcentral.
GAUGAACGCUGGCGGCGUGCCUAAUACAUGCAAGUCGAGCGAACAGACGAGGAGCUUGCUCCUCUGACGUUAGCGGCGGACGGGUGAGUAACACGUGGAUAACCUACCUAUAAGACUGGGAUAACUUCGGGAAACCGGAGCUAAUACCGGAUAAUAUAUUGAACCGCAUGGUUCACUAGUGAAAGACGGUUUUGCUGUCACUUAUAGAUGGAUCCGCGCCGCAUUAGCUAGUUGGUAAGGUAACGGCUUACAAAGGCAACGAUGCGUAGCCGACCUGAGAGGGUGAUCGGCCACACUGGAACUGAGACACGGCCCAGACUCCUACGGGAGGCAGCAGUAGGGAAUCUUCCGCAAUGGGCGAAAGCCUGACGGAGCAACGCCGCGUGAGUGAUGAAGGUCUUCGGAUCGUAAAACUCUGUUAUUAGGGAAGAACAAAUGUGUAAGUAACUAUGCACGUCUUGACGGUACCUAAUCAGAAAGCCACGGCUAACUACGUGCCAGCAGCCGCCGUAA